Molecule: ribosomal RNA, 441 nt
Filed under: uncultured bacterium
Lineage: Bacteria
Description: partial 16S ribosomal RNA
Rfam family: Bacterial small subunit ribosomal RNA
Source: RNAcentral
CCUACGGGUGGCAGCAGUGGGGAAUAUUGCACAAUGGGGGAAACCCUGAUGCAGCAACGCCGCGUGAAGGAAGACGGUUUUCGGAUUGUAAACUUCUGUUCUUAGUGAAGAAUAAUGACGGUAGCUAAGGAGCAAGCAACGGCUAACUACGUGCCAGCAGCCGCGGUAAUACGUAGGGGGCAAGCGUUAUCCGGAUUUAUUGGGUGUAAAGGGGGCGCAGGCGGCGUUGCAAGCCAGGAGUGAAAGGCCGGGGCCCAACCCCGGGACUGCUCUUGGAACUGCGUUGGUUGAGUGGAGGAGGGGCAAGCGGAAAUCCUGGGGUAGCGGGGAAAAGCGUAGAUAAUAGGAGGAACACCCGUGGCGAAGGCGGCCUGCUGGGCUUUUACUGACGGUGAGGCCCGAAAGCGUGGGGAGCAAACAGGAUUAGAUACCCCUGUAGUC